RNAcentral lists this microRNA precursor (79 nucleotides) under Alligator mississippiensis (American alligator). Its description in RNAcentral is "mir-27 microRNA precursor family". It matches the Rfam family "mir-27 microRNA precursor family". RNAcentral also lists the same sequence under 1 other name. The record is from Rfam by way of RNAcentral. Lineage: Eukaryota; Metazoa; Chordata; Crocodylia; Alligatoridae.
CCAGGGCACAGGGCUUAGCUCACCUGUGAACAGAGUUAGCGUUGCAUCAUGUUCACAGUGGCUAAGUUCCGCCUCCUGG